This 480-nucleotide ribosomal RNA is filed under the name uncultured bacterium. RNAcentral's name for it is "partial 16S ribosomal RNA". It matches the Rfam family "Bacterial small subunit ribosomal RNA", at positions 28 to 523 of the family's 1533-position model. The record is from RNAcentral.
GACGAACGCUGGCGGCGUGCUUAACACAUGCAAGUCGAACGAUGAAGUUCCUUCGGGAAUGGAUUAGUGGCGAACGGGUGAGGAACACGUGAGAAACCUGCCCAUCAUUCUGGGAUAACACCGGGAAACCGGUGCUAAUACCGGAUACUCCAUCGCGGCGGCAUCGCUGCGCUGGGAAAGUAUUUCGAUGAUGGAUGGUCUCGCGGCCUAUCAGCUUGUUGGUGAGGUAACGGCUCACCAAGGCGACGACGGGUAGCCGGCCUGAGAGGGCGACCGGCCACACUGGGACUGAGACACGGCCCAGACUCCUACGGGAGGCAGCAGUGGGGAAUAUUGGGCAAUGGACGCAAGUCUGACCCAGCGACGCCGCGUGAGGGAUGAAGGCCUUCGGGUUGUAAACCUCUUUCAGUGGGGAAGAAGCGAAAGUGACGGUACCCAAAGAAGAAGCACCGGCUAACUAUGUGCCAGCAGCCGCCGUAA